CUAGUUUUCAGGCGCCUCUGUAUGGCCCCGUGAGAGGUGAAAUUCUUGGUGGGGAGCUUCCCGGAAACGAAAGUCUUCCGGCGGGGCCAAGUAUGGUUGCAAAGCUGAAACUUAAAGGAAUUGAAAGGAGUCGACCGUCGCUGCCCGGGACUGAGCCAUUUCGAGAAAUUUGGGGACCGUUGAUUUAAUUUUUCUAAAUUAUUCCGUUAAAGAACCAAUUUAAUCGCAGUGGCUUGAACCA
This 241-nucleotide ribosomal RNA is filed under the name Meloidogyne sp. Pak.P.R.5. Its description in RNAcentral is "partial 18S ribosomal RNA". It matches the Rfam family "Eukaryotic small subunit ribosomal RNA", at positions 1065 to 1780 of the family's 1831-position model. Lineage: Eukaryota; Metazoa; Nematoda; Chromadorea; Rhabditida; Meloidogynidae. The record is from RNAcentral.